This 553-nucleotide long non-coding RNA is filed under the name Marmota monax (woodchuck). The record is from RNAcentral. Lineage: Eukaryota; Metazoa; Chordata; Mammalia; Rodentia; Sciuridae.
CAGGCUUAAUGUGCCCCUGCAAUAUCCAGCUUCCUCCCCAGGGGCCUGUGGGAGCCAGGGACACCCCACCCACUUCCUGCAGCUAGCUACCUGCUGUAGAAGGAGGGGUCUUCCAAUGGGACCUCCAUGCUGUUACCUGUGUUCGUCUUGCUUCCUCUCUCUCUUCUCUCUUCCACACGUACACUCACACACACACACAAUCAUAUAUAUGACAUCCACACACCCACCAGACAGUGUUUGACAGAUACACACAUGAAUUCAUAUGCACAUUCAUGCAUACACCACAGCCACUGGGGUGCAGGUUUUGAUGUGGAGAGGUCUGAGAGGGGACUUUCCAUGCCAAGGUCUUUGGAUCCUCCCUCCUUCCCCCCUCCUCUGUAGCCAGGCCCCUGCAGCUCAUCAGCUUCCCCUCUGCUCAUGGCUCCCAGUCUUUCCAGAUGUCAGCCUACCCAGCCCAGCCCUGGCCACAGCCUGUCCACCCGCCCAGGGCAGGCUCCUUUUUUUCCUGUUUGUCCUCUCCAAUGACCUGCAAAGCUGGAGACCAAAACUGGCC